ACCUAAGAGAUUAAGCGUUCCCUUCGGGGACGGAAUGACAGGUGGUGCAUGGUUGUCGUCAGCUCGUGUCGUGAGAUGUUGGGUUAAGUCCCGCAACGAGCGCAACCCUUAUUGUCAGUUGCCAGCAUUCAGUUGGGCACUCUGGUCAGACCGCCGGUGUUAAGCCGGAGGAAGGAGAGGAUGAGGCCAAGUCAUCAUGCCCCUUAUGACCUGGGCUACACACGUGCUACAAUGGACGGUACAACGAGUCGCGAUCUCGCGAGGGUGAGCUAACUCCAAAAACCCGUCCUCAGUUCGGAUUGCAGGCUGCAACUCGCCUGCAUGAAGCAGGAAUCGCUAGUAAUCGCCGGUCAGCCAUACGGCGGUGAAUCCGUUCCCGGGUCUUGUACACACCGA
This 396-nucleotide ribosomal RNA is filed under the name uncultured bacterium. RNAcentral describes it as "bacterial SSU rRNA". It matches the Rfam family "Bacterial small subunit ribosomal RNA", at positions 997 to 1393 of the family's 1533-position model. The record is from RNAcentral.